RNAcentral lists this ribosomal RNA (253 nucleotides) under uncultured bacterium. RNAcentral describes it as "partial 16S ribosomal RNA". It matches the Rfam family "Bacterial small subunit ribosomal RNA", at positions 524 to 776 of the family's 1533-position model. The record is from RNAcentral.
UACAGAGGUCCCGAGCGUUGUUCGGAUUCACUGGGCGUAAAGGGUGCGUAGGUGGCGAGGUAAGUCGGAUGUGAAAGCUCGGAGCUCAACUCCGAAAUGGCAUUGGAAACUACCUUGCUCGAGGGUUGGAGGGGGGAUUGGAAUACUUGGUGUAGCAGUGAAAUGCGUAGAUAUCAAGUGGAACACCAGUGGCGAAGGCGGGUCCCUGGACAACUCCUGACACUGAGGCACGAAAGCUAGGGGAGCAAACAGG